CUCCGACCGAAAAAAAAGUUUUUCGGUUUUACCCGAAUUUUGCACACCCUUAGUAGUAUGGCCCAUACCGAUCGAAAUUUGCAUCGGAACAAAAUUUAGAGUUUGUUGUUUAGCUUCGCUAUCAGAACGGAGCAUUCCGACCGGCACGGGUGGUGCUAGAACGGAAUUCACUACGGAACAACAAAUAUUAGUGUUUCAAUGCAAGUUUCGACCGGUACCGACCGUACUGGUGCAUUCCGCCCUACCGGAAAAUAAUGGGCUAAGUGUUAGGCCUUUUGGAGGGAGAGAACGAAGGCCUCAGCUGAACUUGGAGAAUCGGCCUUCAUUGCUCCACAAAACUCUGUUGGGUGUAGUAGUGUAUCUGGGUCAAGCCCUGUUUGAAAGAUAAAGGUAAAACAGUGGCCUACCCGUCAUCUGGUUUAGAUAGUAUGAUUCAAAAUCGACAGGUUGAUAGUGAGAAAAGAAUUGCAAUGGAUACGAAUUCUGGAAGCUGAGGCCGAUGAUGCUAUUAUGACUGAUCAGCGUUGGGUAGCACAUCUGUAGGAUCCACCGGAUGAAGAAGAUAAGACGAUUGCCAGUGAGUCUAGUUUACAUGCUGCUCUAGUUGGAGUAAUGAAUCCCAUGCCUGUUGAUCAGGUAAUAAAUUCUCCCAAUAAUGAAGGCAAUAAUUUGGAAUUGUAGGGGAGUGGGAAAUGUGUUAUUCAUGAAGAAUUGUAUUGAUUGAAUUCGUCGAGAAAUUCCGGAUGUUUUGUGUGUGCUGGAAACUAAAGCUGCUGUGGGGUAUGGGUAAGACCUUAGAGAAGAAAACUCUCCUUGAAUGCUAGUUUUGAAGUUCAAGCCCAGGGAUUCCGAGGUGGGUUGAUUUUCCUUUGAUAUCGAUCUCAGAAAUUUUACUGAUCAAGCCAUUAAUUGCUUUGUAAAAGAAGGGCACGCUUCUUUUGUGUAUGUACAACCGAACCCAGAAGCCAAAAAUCGGUUCUGGAGGGAUCUUGUUGAUUGGGGUUCGAAUCUUAGAAUGCCUUGGACGGUGGCCGGUGAUUUUAAUGACUUUGCUUCUUUAGAAGAACGUAGUGGUUGGGUUGACCAUCUUAUGGAUAUCAGUUGCUCAGGAUCUAAAUUCACAUGGGUUCGUCGUCAGCAUGGGAGGAUUACUUUACAAGAAAGGUUGGACAGAGUUUUGUUCAAUCUUGAAGCUUUGAAUUAUGCCACUGUUAUAUUCUGAUCACCAUCCAAUUCUUCUUAAUACUUUGGGGUUCGUUGUGUCCUUCCAAGAGACUUGCGGGCUUUUAGAUUCGAAGCUGCCUGGCUUACUUGUAUGGACUUUUGAGGAAAUCUUCACGGAGUGGAUGGUGAACUCGAGCAAUAUUACACAGGCCAUUGAAGUAGCCACCAGGGCUGUUAAGGAGUGGAAGUCCUCUUUUGGCAAUAUAUUUGUGAGGAAAUGGUCAUUGAUCAAAAGGUUGCAGGGUAUUCAAAAUUCACCUCGUUAUAUGUUUUCUUCUUAUUUGCAACAGUUAGAAGCAAGAAGAAUUAUUGUGGCUUCAGAAAUCUCGUUUAGACUGGAUUUCUAAGGGUAAACGGAACACUCGAUGAUUUCACCUUACAAUGUUGAUGUGACGAACUCGAAAUAAGGUGUUGGGUUUAUUCAUUGAUGAUUCUUGGGCAUCUAAUCAAAGAAGUAUGAUGGAACAUGUGGUAAAUUACUUUGAUAAACUCUUUGCUAAGAAGCAGGUCUCUCCGUUACCUUGUGAUUAGCCUUUUUUCCAUGAAAGGACUGAAAGCUCCGGGUCCAGAUGGUAUUCAACCAGUCUUCUAUCAAAAGCAUUGGGAUUCGCUAUUUGAAUUUGUCAAGGGGGCAUGGAAUACUGUAUCACAACGUCUCAUCGGACCUUUCCAAAACAGUUUUCUUGCUGGAAGGAGCACAACUGAUAAUAUUUUGGUCGACACAGGAAGUGGGACAUGCGAUAAUGAAUAUGAGAGGAGUUCAAGGAGCGAUGAUUCUGAAGAUUGAUCUGCAAAAUGCUUAUGAUAAUGUGGACUGGAGCUUCCUCAGGUUUGUCUUGAUUGAAUUUGGUUUAUCAUGUUUUGUGUCCAAGCUAGUAAAAUCACCCCGAUUUGGAAUGGUCAAGUGACUUCAAAAUUUCCUCCACAACAGGGUUUGAGACAGGUCGACUCACUGUCACCAUAUCUCUUCAUGUCCCAUCUCACAUUUAUCUAGCAAGAACCCUGAAUCUCUAAACCCAAUCCAAACCCAAUCAUCAUCGAGAAAACAUCAAUAAUGCUUUUUUUUUUCUCUUAAAUUAUAAAGAUUUCAAAAGAUUUCAAUAGGUGUCGUCAUCUGGUUUACUAAUAACACAUAAAAUUAUACAAUAUCGGUGCAUCAAUUAUCAACCCUAAUCCGGAUUUGGAUCUUAAAACCCUUUCCAUGUAUUUAAUACUUCAUGAAAUAUAUCAGCUAUAAGCUCCCUAUCAGCACAUUGCAAGAAUGCAUGAAAAUCAUCUCGAAUAUCAUAUAUUUUACCAAACUUCACCAAAUACCGCAUGCAGUUCAUUUUCAGCUUUUGCAAUUGGUAUAAAUAUGCAUUUUGGAGCCUCUCGAGCACGUUUUUCGCAUCGAUAUCUUCGGUUAAGCUCUCGUGGCAUGCUUCUUUCAAGUCCAAGAUAUCGUAUUUAUCGGCCGCUCGAAGAAGUGCUAACCGGUGAGUUAGGAAUUCUUCGUGUUUGAUGUUCCCGUAAAUAUAUCGUAAGAAAGCUUGGCAAACUUCGAUCGACAUGUCGGAUAUGUUUAUGGUUGAAAGUUCUUUCUCUUGAAGGUUAUGUGAGAACAUGCUGUGGAACACGGGUGAUCUCGAAGCUAAGACGGCUCGGUGAGCUCCGAUACUUCCGUCGGAAACGUUGAUGAUGAUGUCGGUGUUGAUCUCUUCGGUUAACAUUCUACCAAGGCAUGCUAAUGCUGUUUCGUUUGAUUGUUUUGUUGUGAAACCUUCAGCCCAAAUAGAGGAAGGUUCCCCACCCUACAAAACAUUAAUUGUUAGUACAUCCAUGUUAGGGAAAUAAGUGGUAAAAGUAUCACGGAGGCCCUUGUAUUAAAAAUCAAAUUACAUUUUACUCCACUAUUCAAAAACUGAGAAAAUUAGUCCUUGUAUUAACAUUAUUUCAUCAACUACGUUAGUUUUUAGCUGUAGAAUGGAUAAAAUUUUUAACAGAAAAGAUUGAUUUGCUCUUUGAUACGUAUAAAGAUGAAUUUGCUCUUUUUUUUAAGUAAAAAAAAUAAAAUACGAUUUAAAUCCUACUACAGAGGCCUCCAUGAUACUUUUAUCAGAUAUAAGUAAAUUUGGAUUUUAUUUUUCAAAGUCUACUUGUAUCCAUAUCCGAAUAUGUGUACUUACGUUUGGAGAUGCAGUCUUUAGAUCAAGAAAUUCAACGUCAAUAAUGAAUUUCCCUGUCAAAGGAACCUCAAUAGGCCACACAAAAUCGUCGUUGUUCUUCAGCUGUUUGUCUAUUAUUUCUGCAAACAGAUGCAAUAAAAUUGUGAAAUUUUCUUCUUCUUCUUUUUCAA
Gossypium raimondii (Peruvian cotton) is the source of this 3559-nucleotide long non-coding RNA. RefSeq lists it as uncharacterized. Lineage: Eukaryota; Viridiplantae; Streptophyta; Magnoliopsida; Malvales; Malvaceae. The record is from RefSeq and is a predicted model, not a curated record. The transcript has 2 exons.